Molecule: ribosomal RNA, 465 nt
Filed under: Vreelandella stevensii
Lineage: Bacteria; Pseudomonadati; Pseudomonadota; Gammaproteobacteria; Oceanospirillales; Halomonadaceae
Description: partial 16S ribosomal RNA
Rfam family: Bacterial small subunit ribosomal RNA
Source: RNAcentral
CCUACGGGAUGCAGCAGUGGGGAAUAUUGGACAAUGGGCGAAAGCCUGAUCCAGCCAUGCCGCGUGUGUGAAGAAGGCCUUCGGGUUGUAAAGCACUUUCAGUGGGGAAGAAAGCCUUGGGGCUAAUACCCUCGAGGAAGGACAUCACCCACAGAAGAAGCACCGGCUAACUCCGUGCCAGCAGCCGCGGUAAUACGGAGGGUGCGAGCGUUAAUCGGAAUUACUGGGCGUAAAGCGCGCGUAGGCGGUCUGAUAAGCCGGUUGUGAAAGCCCCGGGCUCAACCUGGGAACGGCAUCCGGAACUGUCAGGCUAGAGGGCAGGAGAGGAAGGUAGAAUUCCCGGUGUAGCGGUGAAAUGCGUAGAGAUCGGGAGGAAUACCAGUGGCGAAGGCGGCCUUCUGGACUGACACUGACGCUGAGGUGCGAAAGCGUGGGUAGCAAACAGGAUUAGAUACCCUAGUAGUC